Molecule: ribosomal RNA, 565 nt
Filed under: Ogataea sonorensis
Lineage: Eukaryota; Fungi; Ascomycota; Pichiomycetes; Pichiales; Pichiaceae
Description: eukaryotic LSU rRNA
Rfam family: Eukaryotic large subunit ribosomal RNA
Source: RNAcentral
AAACCAACAGGGAUUGCYYUAGUAGCGGCGAGUGAAGCGGCAAGAGCYCAAAUUUGAAAUCUGGUACCUUCGGUGCCCGAGUUGUAAUUUGAAGAAAGCUAUCUUGGAUUUGGCCUUUGUCUAUGUUCCUUGGAACAGGACGUCACAGAGGGUGAGAAUCCCGUGCGAUGAGGUGUCCAUUUCUAUGUAAGAUGUUUUCGAAGAGUCGAGUUGUUUGGGAAUGCAGCUCUAAGUGGGUGGUAAAUUCCAUCUAAAGCUAAAUAUUGGCGAGAGACCGAUAGCGAACAAGUACAGUGAUGGAAAGAUGAAAAGAACUUUGAAAAGAGAGUGAAAAAGUACGUGAAAUUGUUGAAAGGGAAGGGUAUUAGAUCAGACUUGGUAUUUAGUUAUCAUUACUCCUUGUGGGUGGUGCUCUAGCUUUUUACUGGGCCAGCAUCAGUUUUGGUGACAGGAUAAUAGCAAUUGAAUGUGGCUCCUCGGAGUGUUAUAGCUUUUGUUGAUACUGUCUACUGGGACUGAGGUCUGCGGCUUUGCCUAGGAUGCUGGCGUAAUGAUCCAAUACCGC